GCCCGGAUCGCGGGUGCUGCCAGCGGUGGAGGGGAGGGUCCGGCAAAUUAGAGGGCGCGGCUUCCCGACCCUGCACGCUGCACGCUGCACGCUGCGCGACGGCGGGGCCGACCCCGCCCCGGGGGAGGUGAGCCCCUUUGCUUAGGGGGAGAGGAAGGAACGCCCCCCAGUCCUAGGGAAGGAGACCCCCGCCCCGGCCCUCCUAGGGCAGGAGUGCCCUGUUGCCCUGGAACGGCCCAGCCGGUGCGCCCACACGUCUGCCCAAGGCUGGUGCGGAUGGGCGGGUCCCUGUGUCCCGGUGCGGGUCCCAGGCUGCUGGCCUUCCCGGGGCGCCGGCCUCACGUGGCAGAGCAGGUGAGGGUCGAGGGCCACCACUGCAGGUCGUAACCGGGCACUCCGGCUGAGCAUCCUCUCCUAGUUCCCUGCUCAGGACUCAGGGUCUUUGCCACUACCUCGCCCCAACUUCCUGGGUGGCCCAAGGAGACUCGAGGGCCAAAGAAGGGACUUACCCAAACCCUUCCGUACAAAUGUGCAAAUCAGCCUGCUCGGUGGAGAGAGCUGUGCUGAGGCCCCACUCCCUGCACCCUCGGGAGGCCUCUUAUCUGAUUUCUGGCUCCCAGAUGGGGCUCAGGUUACACCUGUAUCAGGAGCAGUGACACCGCAGUGGCUAGGAACACAACCCAUUUUCAGCUUUUACACUUCCUGAUCUGGGCACAUAACUGCUACCUGCCUGAUGGUCAAAGCCCAUGAAGGUAGAAGCUCAUGAAGGUUAACCGUGGCCCUGAAAUGCCAGCGAGCGGUCAGUCCUAUGUAGUUAUGGGGAGACCUGUUACUCCCUAGAAAUACUCCAUUUACUUUAGGAACAAUCGCAAACUGCUCCAGACGGGUUCAAAGCAGAUAGAUUGUCCAGAUUCUCUUGGUAGAAGGGAAAGCGUUCAUACUGACUGGACAAGUGGUCAGUAAGCAUGCCCAUUUCUACUUGGAAGGUUCUAGAAGACAUUUUUCUGAAUCUUUCUGGUUUUUGUUUUUGUUUUUGUUUUUUUUUAACCAGAGUGCUGGGGAUUGAUUCCAGGGACGCUUUAUCCCUGAGCUACACCCACAGCCUUUUGUAUUUUGAGAAAGUAUCUUGCUAAAUUGCUGAGGCUGACCUGGCCUCGAAUUUACAAUCCUUUGGCCUUACAACCCUUCUGCCUCACCGUCCUCCAAUCCCUGGGAUUACAGGCAUGUGCCACCAUACCCAGCUGAAAAACCAUCCUUUCAUAAGUAGCCUUCUGCCCCUAGAAACCACAGAUGGAUACCUAGAAACUUGGGGGCAGCACUGACUCAGUCCCUUACUGAGUUUUCUCAUACAUAAGAAAACUCAAAUGGAACCACCGUUUGACCCAGCUAUCCCACUCCUUGAUUUAUACCAAAGGACUUAACAUCAGCAUACUAUAGUGACACAGCUGCAUCAAUAUUUUAGCAGCUCAGUUCACAAUAGCUAAACUGUGGGAUCAACCUAGCUGCCUUUCAACAGGUGAAUGGAUAAAGAAAAUGUGGUACAUAUGCUGAAUGGAGUAUUACUCAGCCUUAAGGAAGAAUGAAAUUAUGGUAUUUGCAGGUAAAUGGAUGGAACUAGAGAAUAUCAUGCUAAGUGAAAUAAGCCAAUCACCCCAAACCAAAAGUUGAAUGCUAAUCAAUAAGGGGAGCAGGGGAUAGGGAAGAAUGAAAGAAGUUUAGUUGUGUCAAGAGGAGUGAGGGGAGGGGUGAGGCUGUGAGGAUGGAAAGGACAGUAGAAAGAGACAUUAUUACCAUAUUUUCAUGUCUGAUUGCCCUAUUGGAGUGCCUGCACCAUGUACAGGCAGAGGAAGGAGAAGCUGUGCUCCAUUUGUGUACAAUGUGUCCAAAUACAUUCUGCUGUCAUGUAUAACUAAUUAGAACACAUUUUUUUUAAAAGUUCAUGGGGAGGGGGGAGGGCUGGGGUUGUGGCUCAACAGUGGAGCGCUCACCUAGCACACAGAAGGCGCUAGGUUUGAUCCUCUGCACCACAAAUAAAUAGAUAAAAUAAAGGUAUUUUGUGUCAACUACAACUAAAAAAUAUUUAUUUAAAAAGAAUCCAUUCUCUCACUAUGAGAAAAAAUAUUUUCUGGCAUAGAAAAUGAAUUAAGCAGAAAUUUUAUUUAUUCUUCUCAACUUUUUUGUUGUGGUUUUUGUGGGGGGGUUUGUUGUUUGUUUUUUUGGUACCAGGGAUUGAACUCAGGGGCACUAAACCACUGAGCUACACCCCUGUCCUAUUUUGUAUUUUAUUCAGAGACAGGUUCUCACUGAGUUGCUUAGUGCCUCGCUUUUUCUGAGGCUGGCUUAAAUUCCGGAUCCUCCGGCCUUAGCCUCCCAAGCCGCUGGGAUCAUAGGCGUGGGCCACCUGGCAGGGCUAUUAUUUUCCUCAAGCAUUGUUACAAAUUUUUUCUAAAAAUGUCCCAACUUAAAUCAAAUGCAGUUUUCAAGUAAAACACAGUGAGGUGAAGAAAUUUUUUUUUUUUUUAUUUUAGUUUUUUUCGGCAGACACAACAUCUUUGUAUGUGGUGCUGAGGAUCGAACCUGGGCGGCACGCAUGCCAGGCGGGCGUGCUACCGCUUGAGCCACAUCCCUAGCCCCUAUGAAGAAAUUUUUUAGAUUGUGCCAGGCACAUUGGUACACCCCUGUAAUCCCAGGAGGCUGAGGCAGGAAGAUCCAAGUUCAAAGCCAGCCUCAGCAACUUAAUGAGCCCCUGUCUCAAAACAAAAAAUAAAAAGGGCUGGGGAUGAGACUUAGUAGUUGAGUGCUUCUGGGUCCAAUCUCUGGUACAAAAAGAAAAAGACAAAAAAACCACCUCUCAUUUAGAAAAGUCAACAUCAGGCCUGAGGUGGCUGAGUGGUUGAGCACUGGUCCGGCAUGCAGGAGGCCUUGGAUUCACUCCCCGGCCCUGCAGAUGCGCGUGCGUGCACACUUACAAGUGUCUAAAAGGCAUUUGACCAGGGAAGGGUUUUCGUGUGAUUUGGAGGUGCUCAUUCCUCGGGUCUUCCUCCCACCUCAGCCUCCCCAGCAGCUGGACCGCAGGCAUGCACCCCUGCGCCGGCUUCCUCCAGUCUUGAGUCAGCACAGGCCCUGGUCCCUGGCUGGCACUCAGCCUUCAGCACUGUGAAGCUCUGUGGCUACAGGGAGACCCUGAUUGCAGGCGCUGAGGGUGCACAGCUGGCCUGCAGGACAUGACAGGCCUGGAAUCAUAUUGGAAUGAGAGCUUCCUUAUUCGGCUUAGCCCCAAAUUCCUGAAUCAUAAGCUCCUGUGUGGCUUGCAAUAGCUCAGAAGCCACUGACAGCCUGUUCCUGCUUCCUCCUGAUCUGCCCAGCAGACUGCAGUUGACGUCACAGAGCGGUGCUAUUAGGUCAUCAGAGAACGUGGAGAAGGGCGAAGAGCAGCAAAACCUGGGUUCUUUCCCCUCAGGGGCUUUUCCCUACUUACUUUCUCUGAUAAUAAGGCCUGGUCCCAUCGGUCAUCCUCCGGGUCCUGGGACUGAGGGAACAGGCCACCAUGCGUCUCCUUACCACCAGGGGUCGCCCUUUCCCAUGGAACACCUGCUUAAUUCUGUAGCGACGUGGGACAGGGUGAGGGGACUGUGGCUUUGGCCCUGUGUUCAUAAUUUAAUGGGUUUUUUUUUUUUUUUUUGGCACUGGGGACUGAACUCAGAGGCACUCAGCCACUGAGCCACAUCCCCAGCCCUAUUUUGUAUUUUAUUUAGAGACUGAGUUACUUAGUGCCUUGCCAUUGCUAAGGCUGACUGAACUCGUGACCCUCCUGUCUCAGCCUCCUGAGCCACUGGGAUUACAGGCUUGGCCACCACUCCCAUUGUAAUUUAAUGGCUUUGAUCGGACGCCUGGAGUGCAUCUCCUCUUCCGUCAGCUCUUUUGCUGGUAAAGGAAGGAUGUGGGGAUGGAGACACAUCCUGAGCCUGUGUCCAGCCCCUCCUAAGGGAAGGUGGAAGUUCAGCCAGUUUUCCUAGUCCCCUCCCCUUGCCAGUCUAGGGAAAAAGAAACAAGGACAGGCAGGGCAGGAGAUCUGGAAGGCAGCUCCCAGCAGGAGGAGGAGGCUGCUGUGCACAGGGAGAACCCUGGGGGAGUAGCAGUGUCCACUUCAGGCUUUGAAUGUGGCCCUGCUGCUCUACCACUGCAACUGGUUUUUAAAGUGGACACUGUUUCUUUCUCUCCCUGCUCCUCCCUAAACUCUCCCCCUCCCUAAUCUCAGGGGAGACAGGAUCACCUUUUUGGCCCAUCCUAGGCAGAGGUAUCUGUCCCUGAGCACACACCCACCAUAGGAAAGAAGUCCUCCAGACUUUGGGGAUGGCACCAGAACAUCUCAGAAAUGACCAUCUCCCAAAUUAACUACAACAGAGAGCACGGGGAAUGCAGCCUUUGAGUCACCUCUUUAACAGCCCCCAGUUCUUGCUGAUGGCAGGAUCACAGCCUCUGAGACAGGAGUGCCCUGUGUCUCCUUUGCUAGCAAAACAACAAAGCUUUUUCCUUUUUCUCAAAACUGUGUCCUGGGUACUGGACUGGCAUCGGGGACAAGGAUGGAGCUUUCAGCAGCGGGGGGAGAGCAGAAGGGUGUUUGGGAAGGUCAGGGGAGAACAGUCCCCUCUGGCAGGUAGACAGAGAGGACCCAGAGGGUGGGGUGGUCAGAUAAGGAUGUGCCUGCACCUGAGAGGGGCUGUGCUCAGCAGAUAAACAGAAUAGGCCUCAGGGCCUGUGCCAGGCCUGGGACUGGUGAUAUGGGCAAGAAAGGAACAAGACAGGGCAUUUUGACACAUUGUACACAAAUGGAGCAAAACUUCUCGCUCCUCUGGCUGAACAUGGUGCAGAGUGACUCCCAGGGUGUGAUCUAGUAGUGAAUCUGACAGGCAGGGUGACUGCCUACUUAUCCUGGAGAAGGGCCCCCACAGGCUGGCUCUGGAGCAAGCAUGGAGGUUUCUGUUGGAGCCCUGGGGGUCUGCCAUGGUGUGGGACCACACCGAGGAAAGGCCCCUCAGCUGUGGCCUGCAGGCAGAGGGGGAAUGGGCAGGGCAGGCCCACAGAAGCCACGUGACAUUCCAUCUCCCCCAGCAUGGCCAGGCUUCCUGAAGGGGCCUCUGCCUCCUGCUGGGCAGAAUAUGAGAGUGGGCAAAGGGAACAAGCUAAAAGUUAGCUCAGGAAGCUAUGGGGAUGCCUGGAAGGAGGAGCUGCCCUGGAGGGCAGAGGGCUGGGCUCCCGGAGGGAGAGGAAGGGACGGUCCUCGGGGCACAGGCAUUGCCUUUGGGGGACGGGGGUCUCUGUGUGUGAAAUGUUUUGAAGUGCAACUUACUUAUGAAGAGUCUUUCUUCUUUUUUUUCGCCUGAUGGUGUUCCGUUGUAUAUCAAGAAUGCCACCUGCGGUCUGCUCUCUGAGAACUGAACAGAGCCCUUUCUUUCUGCCAACUGAAAUUUCCUCAAGUCCAAGGAUGCAGAAUGGCCACCCCAGGCCCAUGGGUCCAGAGAGAAGGCGGGUGUGCCUGAGUCCCGGGAAACAUGGAGGCAGGGGCUGCAGAAGCAGGUGGGGCCUGGUGGAUAGGAGGGAGGCUGGGGGUCGCCAGGCAGGAGAGUUGAGAGUCCCAGGCCCUCUUGGACCACAUGGCAAGGCCCUGUCUCAAAAACACAAAAGACAAGAAGCAUGUGAUCCUCAUUCAAGGAGCCACAAGGGACACUGCCACACCUGCUGGGAACAAAGGUUCUAGAACCGAACAGGGCAGGCCAAUGGGUCAGAGGGAGCAGGGUGGUGCCAGCUGCUCCUGCACCUUGCUCUAGAGGCCAGAAAAGCCCGAAUCACCUCUCGCCCCAGCCCUGACCCAAGCCAGGAACCCACGCUUGGGGAAAACAUGGCCUUCCGUCCACUUUCAGGGGAGAGGAGGGAGGGUCUGAUACAAGCCUCUGACACGGCAGCAGUAGAGGAUCAUGCACGGGGGGCGGGGCAGAGACCCCAUCUAGCAGCCCUCCUCCCCCCAUCAUGGGUGUCACCAGGGCAAGCUGACUCACUGCUGCCACUGAAAGCCACCUCGGGAGGGCGCAGGAGUGGAGAGAGGGCCCUCUGCCAGCAGGUUGUCCCGGCCAUCCUCUGUCCCUGGUGCACACGGCUCCCUUCUGGGUUGUCCCUGGUGGCAACUUGAACCCAAGCACACAGAGCUCAGUGGGCUUCCACCAGGGGCGCGCUGGCCCCGGACUUGGCCAUCUCUCUGCUGAAGAUACCCCAGCACUCAGUGCCCCUUGCCCUCCGCCUUCUCCCCACCCUCACCCUCCUCUCCCUGUCCCCCCCCCCAGGCCUCUCCUGGUGAAGGCUCAAGCUCAGGUUCAAAGGUGCCUCCUUCCACCAGAUGGAAACCCCGUGCCUCCCCUUCCCACCCCAGGAGGACAGUCCUGGCCCUUCCAGCGCACUGCAGGGUUCCUCCUUCCCUGAGUUUCCCUGGUGGAGCAGAACCUGGCUAUAGGACCCACCUCAGCCCGGCAUCCCUCUCCAGGGCCGGCUUCCCCUGGCACAGUGGCCCCCUUGCUUCUUCAUAUCAGAAAUCCUGGUCAUCUUUCUCCCUUCUUUUUUAUAUACCCCCAUAUUUUAUAUAUAAAUAUAUAUAAUUAUUAUUUCUG
RNAcentral lists this long non-coding RNA (6659 nucleotides) under Marmota monax (woodchuck). The record is from RNAcentral. Lineage: Eukaryota; Metazoa; Chordata; Mammalia; Rodentia; Sciuridae.